This 254-nucleotide ribosomal RNA is filed under the name uncultured bacterium. Its description in RNAcentral is "partial 16S ribosomal RNA". It matches the Rfam family "Bacterial small subunit ribosomal RNA", at positions 524 to 776 of the family's 1533-position model. The record is from RNAcentral.
UACGGAGGGGGCUAGCGUUUGUUCGGAAUUACUGGGCGUAAGGCGCACGUAGGCGGCUUUGUAAGUUAGAGGUGAAAGCCCGGGGUCAACUCCGGAAUUGCCUUUUAAGACUGCAUCGCUAGAAUUGUGGAGAGGUAAGUGGAAUUCCGAGUGUAGAGGUGAAAUUCGUAGAUAUUCGGAAGAACACCAGUGGCGAAGGCGACUUACUGGACACAUAUUGACGCUGAGGUGCGAAAGCGUGGGGAGCAAACAGG